Molecule: ribosomal RNA, 1339 nt
Filed under: uncultured bacterium
Lineage: Bacteria
Description: bacterial SSU rRNA
Rfam family: Bacterial small subunit ribosomal RNA
Source: RNAcentral
GACGAACGCUGGCGGCGUGCUUAACACAUGCAAGUCGAACGGUGAAGCCCUUCGGGGUGGAUCAGUGGCGAACGGGUGAGUAACACGUGAGCAACCUGCCCCUGGCUCUGGGACAACCACUGGAAACGGUGGCUAAUACCGGAUGCGACCUACCUCGGCAUCGAGUGUGGGUGGAAAGUUUUUCGGCUGGGGAUGGGCUCGCGGCCUAUCAGCUUGUUGGUGGGGUAAUGGCCUACCAAGGCGACGACGGGUAGCCGGCCUGAGAGGGCGACCGGCCACACUGGGACUGAGACACGGCCCAGACUCCUACGGGAGGCAGCAGUGGGGAAUAUUGCACAAUGGGCGAAAGCCUGAUGCAGCGACGCCGCGUGAGGGAUGACGGCCUUCGGGUUGUAAACCUCUUUCAGCUCCGAAGAAGCGAAAGUGACGGUAGGAGCAGAAGAAGCACCGGUGUAACUACCUGCCAGCAUCCGCGGUAAUACGUACGGUGCAAGCGUUGUCCCGAAUUAUUGAGCGUAAAGAGCUCGUAGGCGGUGUGUCGCGUCUGCUGUGAAAACUCAGGGCUCAACUCUGAGCUUGCAGUGGGUACGGGCACACUAGAGUGCUGUAGGGGAGACUGGAAUUCCUGGUGUAGCGGUGAAAUGCGCAGAUAUCAGGAGGAACACCGGUGGCGAAGGCGGGUCUCUGGGCAGUUACUGACGCUGAGGAGCGAAAGCAUGGGGAGCGAACAGGAUUAGAUACCCUGGUAGUCCAUGCCGUAAACGUUGGGCGCUAGGUGUGGGGUCCAUUCCACUGAUUCCGUGCCGCAGCUAACGCAUUAAGCGCCCCGCCUGGGGAGUACGGCCGCAAGGCUAAAACUCAAAGGAAUUGACGGGGGCCCGCACAAGCGGCGGAGCAUGCGGAUUAAUUCGAUGCAACGCGAAGAACCUUACCAAGGCUUGACAUGCGCGGUGGAAUCCCAGAGAUGGGGUGUCAUUUAGUUGGUCGCGUACAGGUGGUGCAUGGUUGUCGUCAGCUCGUGUCGUGAGAUGUUGGGUUAAGUCCCGCAACGAGCGCAACCCUCGUUCCAUGUUGCCAGCACGUUAUGGUGGGGACUCAUGGGAGACUGCCGGGGUCAACUCGGAGGAAGGUGGGGAUGACGUCAAAUCAUCAUGCCCCUUAUGUCUUGGGCUUCACGCAUGCUACAAUGGCCAGUACAGAGGGCUGCGAUACCGUGAGGUGGAGCGAAUCCCAAAAAGCUGGUCUCAGUUCGGAUCGGGGUCUGCAACUCGACCCCGUGAAGUCGGAGUCGCUAGUAAUCGCAGAUCAGCAACGCUGCGGUGAAUACGUUCCCGGGCCU